CUAUGCGCCUUGCCAGCCCGCUCAGGUGUGCCAGCCGCCGCGGUAAUACGGAGGAUGCGAGCGUUAUCCGGAUUUAUGGGUUUAAAGGGUGCGUAGCGGGAUGCCAAGUCAGCGGUAAAAUGCGGUGCUCAACGCCGUCGAGCCGUUGAAACUGGCGUUCUUGAGUGGGCGAGAAGUAUGCGGAAUGCGUGGUGUAGCGGUGAAAUGCAUAGAUAUCACGCAGAACUCCGAUUGCGAAGGCAGCAUACCGGCGCCCUACUGACGCUGAGGCACGAAAGCGUGGGUAUCGAACAGG
RNAcentral lists this ribosomal RNA (295 nucleotides) under uncultured bacterium. RNAcentral describes it as "partial 16S ribosomal RNA". It matches the Rfam family "Bacterial small subunit ribosomal RNA", at positions 475 to 776 of the family's 1533-position model. The record is from RNAcentral.